RNAcentral lists this ribosomal RNA (252 nucleotides) under uncultured bacterium. Its description in RNAcentral is "partial 16S ribosomal RNA". It matches the Rfam family "Bacterial small subunit ribosomal RNA", at positions 524 to 776 of the family's 1533-position model. The record is from RNAcentral.
UACGUAGGGGGCAAGCGUUGUCCGGAAUUAUUGGGCGUAAAGCGCGCGCAGGCGGUCAUUUAAGUCUGGUGUUUAAUCCCGGGGCUCAACCCCGGAUCGCACUGGAAACUGGGUGACUUGAGUGCAGAAGAGGAGAGUGGAAUUCCACGUGUAGCGGUGAAAUGCGUAGAUAUGUGAAGGAACACCAGUGGCGAAGGCGACUCUCUGGGCUGUAACUGACGCUGAGGCGCGAAAGCGUGGGGAGCAAACAGG